RNAcentral lists this ribosomal RNA (252 nucleotides) under uncultured bacterium. RNAcentral describes it as "partial 16S ribosomal RNA". It matches the Rfam family "Bacterial small subunit ribosomal RNA", at positions 57 to 305 of the family's 1533-position model. The record is from RNAcentral.
GCAAGUCGAGCGGUAACAGAGAGUAGCUUGCUACUUUGCUGACGAGCGGCGGACGGGUGAGUAAUGCUUGGGAAUAUGCCUUUUGGUGGGGGACAACAGUUGGAAACGACUGCUAAUACCGCAUGAUGUCUACGGACCAAAGUGGGGGACCUUCGGGCCUCACGCCAAAAGAUUAGCCCAAGUGGGAUUAGCUAGUAGGUAAGGUAACGGCUUACCUAGGCAACGAUAGAUAGGGGCCCUGAGAGGGGGAUC